This 501-nucleotide ribosomal RNA is filed under the name uncultured bacterium. RNAcentral's name for it is "partial 16S ribosomal RNA". It matches the Rfam family "Bacterial small subunit ribosomal RNA", at positions 30 to 523 of the family's 1533-position model. The record is from RNAcentral.
AUUGAACGCUGGCGGCAGGCUUAACACAUGCAAGUCGAGCGGAGGGAGGUAGCUUGCUACUGAUCUUAGCGGCGGACGGGUGAGUAAUGCUUAGGAAUCUGCCUAUUAGUGGGGGACAACAUUUCGAAAGGAAUGCUAAUACCGCAUACGUCCUACGGGAGAAAGCAGGGGAUCUUCGGACCUUGCGCUAAUAGAUGAGCCUAAGUCGGAUUAGCUAGUUGGUGGGGUAAAGGCCUACCAAGGCGACGAUCUGUAGCGGGUCUGAGAGGAUGAUCCGCCACACUGGGACUGGGACACGGCCCAGGCUCCUACGGGAGGCAGCAGUGGGGAAUAUUGGACAAUGGGCGGAAGCCUGAUCCAGCCAUGCCGCGUGUGUGAAGAAGGCCUUAUGGUUGUAAAGCACUUUAAGCGAGGAGGAGGCUACUUUAGUUAAUACCUAGAGAUAGUGGACGUUACUCGCAGAAUAAGCACCGGCUAACUCUGUGCCAGCCGCCGCGGUAA